CAACAUUUCAAAUGAUUACCAAACAGUGAGCAUCCUGUAAGGCCUUGGCUGUUUCCAGGGAGGCGUCAACCCACCCUGAAGCAGUUCCCAGUCAGCCCCACCAGCUGCUACCAUACUCAGCCAGAACAGAUUUACCCACCAGUGAGACCAGCAGCAAUCCCCAACAGUUCCAUGGGGCUGGCUGUGAAGGGCAAGACUUGGCCAAAGAAAGCCACGCUGUCCGAGUACAAGCAUUCUCUAUAGAGCACGGGAUGCUAAGGAGAGCUGCCAGAGACAGCAGCUCUACCUCUCCUCUUGUUGUCUGCAUGCUGCCUUGACUUGCAAAGACCACGAGGAAGACAAGAAGCUUUAAGUUGCAACUCUGCCAGAAGUCACAAAUCGGAAAGGGCCACAGCAUUUUACAUAGUUACUUCCAGAGCACAUCAGAAGUAAAAUGAUAAAUAUUAAGAAGUUAUGAAACCUAUAAUGGGCCAUUGCUCUUUUCUUCUGGACAGCAGCUCUACCUCUGCUGAAGAACCGGGACCAGCCUGCUUGCAGGAAUGGUCAAGCACCAAUGAAGAGAUAAGCAGCAGAUUUAAACCAAAAGGAAAUUCUUCUUCUCACAGCACAUCAUUAAACUGUGGAGCUAUUUGCCACAGGAUGUUGUGGAGGCCAAAAGUAUAAGUGUGUUCAAAAUGGAAUUAGAUACAUUCCUGAAGGUUAGCUCCAUUGGCAGCUAUCAACACGGUGCCCCAGACGCAGCUUUUGGUGAAGGAAAUCCCUGAAUUGUUAACUACUUAUGGCUGGCGUGAGUCACAGGGUAAGACUUUCUUAUAAAUGCUCUUCCACUCCUCGCUCAGCUACCAGCCACUUGUGGGGACAGGAUACAGGAUGAGCUAGAUGAGCCUUUGAUGUAAUCCUGUGCAGCUGUUUUCAUACCAGUAUGUGCAGUGUUGUUCCUUUAGUUUCAGUAAAACUUCAGUAAAAGUAUUCAGGGGCAAAAAUGUGCAGAGUUCAUGAGAAGAAGG
Non-coding RNA from Anas platyrhynchos (mallard), 1007 nucleotides. The record is from RefSeq and is a predicted model, not a curated record. NCBI's taxonomy places the organism in Eukaryota, Metazoa, Chordata, Aves, Anseriformes, Anatidae.